Molecule: ribosomal RNA, 1473 nt
Filed under: uncultured organism
Description: bacterial SSU rRNA
Rfam family: Bacterial small subunit ribosomal RNA
Source: RNAcentral
CUAGCGGGAGGCCUAAUACAUGCAAGUCGAGCGGUAGAACUAGCUUCGGUUGGUUUGAGAGCGGCGCACGGGUGAGUAACGCGUACGUAACCUGCCCUUCAGUGGGGAAUAGCCCCGGGAAACUGGGAUUAAUGCCCCAUGGUACUUUCGAUCUGCCUGGAUUGAAAGUUAAAGCUUCGGCGCUGAAGGAUGGACGUGCGUCUGAUUAGCUGGUUGGUGAGGUAACGGCUCACCAAGGCGACGAUCAGUAGGGGGCGUGAGAGCGUGACCCCCCACACGGGUACUGAGACACGGACCCGACUCCUACGGGAGGCAGCAGUAAGGAAUAUUGGGCAAUGGAGGCAACUCUGACCCAGCCAUCCCGCGUGCAGGAAGACGGCCCUACGGGUUGUAAACUGCUUUUAUGAAGGAAGAAAGGUUGGCAUUUAUGCUGAUUUGACGGUACUUCAGGAAUAAGCACCGGCUAACUCUGUGCCAGCAGCCGCGGUAAGACAGAGGUGGCUAGCGUUGCUCGGAAUCACUGGGCUUAAAGGGUGCGUAGGCGGCUUAUCAAGCAUUAUGUGAAAGCCCUCGGCUCAACUGAGGAAUUGCAUAAUGAACUGGUAAGCUUGAGGUGCGUCGGGGCCGGAAGAACUCUGGGUGGAGCGGUGAUAUGCGUAGAUAUCCAGGGGAAUGCCAGUGGCGAAGGCGUCCGGCUAGGCGCAAUCUGACGCUAAGGCACGAAAGCGUGGGUAGCGAACGGGAUUAGAUACCCCGGUAGUCCACGCUGUAAACGUUGUGCACUGGUUUCGGGAACCUCUGACGGUUUCCGGAGCGUAGAAAAAUCGUUAAGUGCACCGCCUGGGGACUACGGCCGCAAGGCUAAAACUCAAAGGAAUUGACGGGGGCUCACACAAGCGGUGGAGCAUGUGGCUUAAUUCGAGGCAACGCGAAGAACCUUACCUGGGUUUGACAUGUACGGAUGCCCCCCUGGAAACAGGGUGUGGUUGCCCUCGUGGUGAAACGUACACAGGUGCUGCAUGGCUGUCGUCAGCUCGUGCCGUGAGGUGUUGGGCUAAGUCCCGUAACGAGCGAAACCCCUAUCUUUAGUUGCCAGUUCCGAUUUAUCGGAAGGCACUCUAACGAGACUGCCGGCGUCAAGCCGGAGGAAGGUGGGGACGACGUCAAGUCAUCAUGGCCUUUAUACCCAGGGAUGCACACGUGCUACAAUGCCAGGUACAAAGUGACGCGAAGCCGCGAGGUGGAGCAAAUCGCAAAAAACCUGGCCCAGUUCAGAUUGCAGUCUGCAAUUCGACUGCAUGAAGUCGGAAUCGCUAGUAAUCGCGUAUCAGCAAUGACGCGGUGAAUGUGUUCCUGAGCCUUGUACACACCGCCCGUCAAGCCAUGGAAGCUGGGACCACCCGAAGUCAGCUUAGCGAAUCCCUCGGGAUAGCGGUUGCCUACGGUGUGCUCGGUGACUGGGGCUAAGUCGUA